RNAcentral lists this ribosomal RNA (497 nucleotides) under uncultured bacterium. RNAcentral describes it as "partial 16S ribosomal RNA". It matches the Rfam family "Bacterial small subunit ribosomal RNA", at positions 28 to 507 of the family's 1533-position model. The record is from RNAcentral.
GAUGAACGCUGGCGGCGUGCCUAAUACAUGCAAGUCGAGCGAACAGACGAGGAGCUUGCUCCUCUGACGUUAGCGGCGGACGGGUGAGUAACACGUGGAUAACCUACCUAUAAGACUGGGAUAACUUCGGGAAACCGGAGCUAAUACCGGAUAAUAUAUUGAACCGCAUGGUUCAAUAGUGAAAGACGGUUUUGCUGUCACUUAUAGAUGGAUCCGCGCCGCAUUAGCUAGUUGGUAAGGUAACGGCUUACCAAGGCAACGAUGCGUAGCCGACCUGAGAGGGUGAUCGGCCACACUGGAACUGAGACAAGGUCCAGACUCCUAAGGGAGGCAGCAGUAGGGAAUCUUCCGCAAUGGGCGAAAGCCUGAAGGAGCAAAGCCGCGUGAGUGAUGAAGGUCUUCGGAUCGUAAAACUCUGUUAUUAGGGAAGAACAAAUGUGUAAGUAACUAUGCACGUCUUGACGGUACCUAAUCAGAAAGCCACGGGUAACUACGUG